This 467-nucleotide ribosomal RNA is filed under the name uncultured bacterium. RNAcentral describes it as "partial 16S ribosomal RNA". It matches the Rfam family "Bacterial small subunit ribosomal RNA", at positions 29 to 507 of the family's 1533-position model. The record is from RNAcentral.
ACGAACGCUGGCGGCGUGCUUAACACAUGCCAGUCGAACGGAAAGGCCCUGCUUUUGUGGGGUGCUCGAGUGGCGAACGGGUGAGUAACACGUGAGUAACCUGCCCUUGACUUUGGGAUAACUUCAGGAAACUGGGGCUAAUACCGGAUAGGAGCUCCUGCUGCAUGGUGGGGGUUGGAAAGUUUCGGCGGUUGGGGAUGGACUCGCGGCUUAUCAGCUUGUUGGUGGGGUAGUGGCUUACCAAGGCUUUGACGGGUAGCCGGCCUGAGAGGGUGACCGGCCACAUUGGGACUGAGAUACGGCCCAGACUCCUACGGGAGGCAGCAGUGGGGAAUAUUGCACAAUGGGCGGAAGCCUGAUGCAGCAACGCCGCGUGCGGGAUGACGGCCUUCGGGUUGUAAACCGCUUUCGCCUGUGACGAAGCGUGAGUGACGGUAAUGGGUAAAGAAGCACCGACUAACUACGUG